RNAcentral lists this ribosomal RNA (682 nucleotides) under uncultured bacterium. RNAcentral's name for it is "bacterial SSU rRNA". It matches the Rfam family "Bacterial small subunit ribosomal RNA", at positions 44 to 715 of the family's 1533-position model. The record is from RNAcentral.
AUGCUUAACACAUGCAAGUCGAACGGAAACGAUGGAAGCUUGCUUCCAGGCGUCGAGUGGCGGACGGGUGAGUAAUGCUUGGGAAUCUGCCUAAUAGUGGGGGAAAACACGGGGAAACUCGUGCUAAUACCGCAUAAUCUCUACGGAGGAAAGAGGGCCUCUACAUGUAAGCUCUCGCUAAUAGAUGAGCCCAAGUCAGAUUAGCUUGUUGGUGAGGUAAAAGCUCACCAAGGCUACGAUCUGUAGCUGGUCUGAGAGGACGAUCAGCCACACUGGGACUGAGACACGGCCCAGACUCCUACGGGAGGCAGCAGUGGGGAAUAUUGCACAAUGGGCGCAAGCCUGAUGCAGCAAUACCGCGUGUGUGAAGAAGGCCUUAGGGUUGUAAAGCACUUUCAAUAGAGAAGAAAAGCUUAGAGUUAAUAACUCUAAGCAUUGACGUAACCUAUAGAAGAGGCACCGGCUAAAUCCGUGCCAGCAGCCGCGGUAAUACGGAUGGUGCGAGCGUUAAUCGGAAUUACUGGGCGUAAAGCGCGCGUAGGCUGUUUUAUAAGUCGGAUGUGAAAUCCCCGGGCUCAACCUGGGAACUGCAUCCGAAACUAUUCAACUAGAGUAUGGGAGAGGUAAGUAGAAUUUCCGGUGUAGCGGUGAAAUGCGUAGAUAUCGGAAGGAACACCAGUGG